RNAcentral lists this ribosomal RNA (667 nucleotides) under uncultured bacterium. RNAcentral's name for it is "partial 16S ribosomal RNA". It matches the Rfam family "Bacterial small subunit ribosomal RNA", at positions 56 to 699 of the family's 1533-position model. The record is from RNAcentral.
UGCAGUCGAGCGGANGNNGAAGAAGCUUACUUCUUCUGAUUUUAGNNNNNNNNNUNNNGAGUAACACGUGGGCAACCUACCUUGUAGAUNGNNNNAACUCCGGGAAACCGGGGCUAAUACCGAAUAAUCCAUUUUGCUUCAUGGCGAAAUGUUAAAAGGCGGCGAUCUCGCUGUCACUGCAAGAUGGGCCCGCGGCGCAUUAGCUAGUUGGUAAGGUAACGGCUUACCAAGGCGACGAUGCGUAGCCGACCUGAGAGGGUGAUCGGCCACACUGGGACUGAGACACGGCCCAGACUCCUACGGGAGGCAGCAGUAGGGAAUCUUCCACAAUGGACGAAAGUCUGAUGGAGCAACGCCGCGUGAGUGAAGAAGGUUUUCGGAUCGUAAAACUCUGUUGUAAGGGAAGAACACGUACGAGAGUAACUGCUCGUACCUUGACGGUACCUUAUUAGAAAGCCACGGCUAACUACGUGCCAGCAGCCGCGGUANUACGUAGGUGGCAAGCGUUGUCCGGAAUUAUUGGGCGUAAAGCGCGCGCAGGCGGUCCUUUAAGUCUGAUGUGAAAGCCCACGGCUCNACCNGUGGNNGGUCAUUGGNAANCUGGGGGACUUGAGUACAGAAGAGGAAAGCGGAAUUCCNAGUGUAGCGGNGAAAUGCGUANANAUUU